This 240-nucleotide unclassified non-coding RNA is filed under the name soil metagenome. RNAcentral describes it as "partial contains 5.8S ribosomal RNA, internal transcribed spacer 2, and large subunit ribosomal RNA". The record is from RNAcentral.
AACCAUAGAAACCUGCGGAGUACCUGCGGAAGGAUCAUUACAGAGUUGCAAAACUCCCUAAACCAUUGUGAACGUUACCUAAACCGUUGCUUCGGCGGGCGGCCCGGGUCCUUCCCGGCGCCCCUCGGCCCUCGCGGGCGCCCGCCGGAGGUAAACCAAACUAUUGCAUUGUAUGGCCUCUCAGAGUCUUCUGUACUGAAUAAGUCAAAACUUUUAACAACGGAUCUCAGAUCGGAAGAG